RNAcentral lists this long non-coding RNA (393 nucleotides) under Androctonus crassicauda. Lineage: Eukaryota; Metazoa; Arthropoda; Arachnida; Scorpiones; Buthidae. The record is from RNAcentral.
CAUGUACAUCGAAAAUGUUUAAAAAAAAAAAAGUAAUAAAGUUUCUUGGAUUAAUUUCACUGCUUGCUAGUGCUUUGAAUGAAUCUUAUGAAUUAGGUUUGUAUGCCUACUCGAUCGCUUAUGAUAUCUGAUUCGAAUUAAAUCACAUAUAUUAUUGAAACUUGGUAGAGAAUCAUUCACAUUGAAAAUGAUCGAAAUAGGGUCAGUAGUAUUGAUAUUUUCCACAGGCGAUGAGACAAUAUCUAGGACGAAUAUUAUCUACUUUGAACGAAACUCAAAUGUAUUGUUAGGGCACACAGUGAAUCAAAUUGAUAAAAAUGAUGAAAAUGUUUCAUUUAUUACGUUAUUAAUGAUAAUGUUCAAAAGUGUAACAGUAGUAGGUUAUUCAAAUCA